Erigeron canadensis is the source of this 1486-nucleotide long non-coding RNA. RefSeq lists it as uncharacterized. Lineage: Eukaryota; Viridiplantae; Streptophyta; Magnoliopsida; Asterales; Asteraceae. The transcript is spliced from 5 exons. The record is from RefSeq and is a predicted model, not a curated record.
AUUCUUUUGAUCACAUUUGUAUACAUGAUUAAUAUUAGUACAAGUAAUUAUAUUUAUUAGUCUAAAACUAAUUAGAGGGUUGCGAUGCAUUGAUAUUGUUGGAUGGUGAGAACAAUUUUUUCCUAAGUGAACUUUGAAUACUUUUUUUGUGCAAGAAGUUGGGCAUGAGCUAAACAUGUAAAGGAAAGGUAUGUAGAUCAGCAUCUGCGUUUAGAGGGCAUGGUGACAUGCGUGCGACUUUGUUGGAAUGGUAGCCGACUUAAAAAGUAUUGAAUGAUGGGAUCCCUUGAAGCUAUGACAAAAGGAAGUGAUGCUCGGUAGCUCGCGGGUACAGCUAGAAUUAAGAUUGUUCAAGGGGUUGUUGGUGCCAUUGCAGAUAAGGGUUAUGUGUCAAAGUUCAUUUCAUACACUAUGCAAACGAUUCCGCGAUUUCUUGGAUCUUGGUGCUUCUUUCUUGAAGUGAGCUCAUGAUUUGUGGGGUUUAGGACUUUGAGGCUGGAGGUAUGGCUUAGUGUUAAUUGGGUAACGAUUGGGGGAUUGAAUAACCUACAACUAUUCAUGGAAAUAAAAAAAGGACUUAAGAAGAAAAGGUCAGUCUUAGUAUUGGAAACAAUAAAUUAUCACUACUCAGUGUUGCCAUGGGAGUGCAGGUAGUCCAGAAAAUAAUCAGAUAGUUAGCAGGAAAUUCAUUUUACCCGAACUUUAGAAACUCAUAUAAUCGUAAUAUAAUUCAUUUUGGAAUGCAGAUCCAAACAACCUCACUAUUGAGUAAAUUUGUGAAAGUGAACAUACUUGAUGAAUUGGAUGGUAUGUUUAAACAUAGUGGACACUCGAGUAGGUCAUGGACUAUUGGACUGCACUUUUUGAAACCAUCCCAUGCUUAUGUUUUAGCUUCUUUCGUGCUGUAAAAAUAUUUGUUUGCUACCUAACGUUGCUAAACUUCUUCAAUGGUGCAUUACAGGACACAUGUUCUUUUGUAAGCCUUUAUAUGUUGCCUUUUCUCAAAGAAAGGAAGAGAGACAAGGAUAAUUACAAACAACGUGAAGUUGUGAACAACGUAUGGCUGGACUAUUUGGCCCGUCUUCUGCCAUCGAUGGAGAUUCCUAACGACGGUCUGGGACUCUAUUGACAAGUUAGAGGGACAAUGAAUAUGUAUAUGCAGAACCUACAAAAUGGUUUUAUUGCUCCAUAUGUGUUGCACUUGCAACAACCUACUCAUACAUCAAGGGAAUCAUCUAGCAAGCAAAAGGUGUAUUUUGGGAAACCUUGGACAUGUUCGUGCCAUAUCUUCAUAAGGUUUUCAUGGAUAUUCAGGUUAUAGUGUUUCACCCCAUCUGUGUUUAGUUUCAAAUGGUGGGUUAGAGCUUUAGUUGUAGCAGUUUUGAGUGCCAAGAGUUGGCACAAAAGCUUUAUUUGUUACAUGUCGCUUAUGUAUUUAGGGGAGGUACAUGUAUUGCUAUUGGUAUAUUUUGCUUAUUUGUUUGCA